Molecule: unclassified non-coding RNA, 434 nt
Filed under: fungal sp.
Lineage: Eukaryota; Fungi
Description: partial internal transcribed spacer region
Rfam family: Eukaryotic small subunit ribosomal RNA (bases 1-46)
Source: RNAcentral
AAGUCGUAACAAGGUAUCCGUAGGUGAACCUGCGGAUGGAUCAUUAAAACCAAAAAGCUAACGUGCUUCAAACCCACGUUACUAACCCAAACCUUUGUGCACCCGUUCCGACAAAACGCGGUCGCGAGUGAUAGCUGCUUGACCGGGGUCGAGUCUGGCACUUCCCCUCGUGGGAGAGUGUGGCUGGGUCUUUCACCUUUGGUGAGAAGAAAGAGCUUAUGACUUGUCGCAGCGCUUUAACUCAUUCGUUGACAGCGUUUUACUUUUUUUUUUCCCUUUCUCGCCAAACUUUUUUUAACCCAUUGAACUAUAUUUUCCUUUCUUUAGUUGUACGACACGUUUUUCUACGCUGGUCUUUGUGUGGUAACUCGCACGAAGCACUAGUGAUAUAAGAAACGCAAGAACAACUCUUAGCAACGGAUAUCUAGGUUCUC